UCUAUGGCAACACCUCCACGGAAAAAUGAUGGCGGCCACAGCAAGACGAGCGAUGACUAUUUUUUUUAAAUAUACACAAAUACAGCACUACGCACCCCAAAGCGCCCUUUGGCUCCCAGGACACAGGGCUGUGUUUAAGACAACAGCAUAGGAGCUCAUGACAAGACUAAUUAGGAGCACAAGGGGAGUAUGCAGGCUCAGGACCGAGAGUUUGACAAUGAAUUAAGACCUGGGGCUUUGGGAUACUGAAAUUUGUCAACAAAAUUAACAUUCCCUUUCCUGGAAACUCUCAAGCUGAAGGAGUUUACGAGGACCUUAUUUUAAGUGUCCAACUUGGAGGGAAUUAUCAGAGAGAGAGAGCGAGAGACGGUAAAAACAAACAGUAGCCGCCAUCAGCCCCUUCAACAGCACUGUAAACCUAGCCAAGGAUGGGUUCCCGCCCACUGCUUCUCACAGCCGUUCUCCUCUGAUGCCUUCGCAGAUCGGAAUUUGGGGAAGGAGUGGCCUCCAUGACCUCAACAUCAGAAGCCUAGAGGGUCUUUGUGGCUUAAAGGGCUGUGACACGUGAAGUACUGGCUGCCGAUUGUAGAGGAGAGAUUCCUGGGCAAGUGCAGAGUUAUAUAGAGUGCCCUUUCUACCUGACACACGAAAGAAAUGAGCUGUAACAGACGCCAGCGGCAGGUGCAGGACCUGUGAGCUUCACUCACUGUGCCCCAGUGUUUGGGUUCCUGCGCUUUGAACCGCCUUACUUUAAGAAGCCUUGUCAUUGGAAAAUUGACCGCAGCUGAUGGCUUCUGUCAUUUGUGCUGUUGUUUGGAGGGCAGGGCUCUGCGUCGCUUUGUCAGGCCGCACAGGGAAUGCGCCACCUCCGGCCCGCACUGUCUGCCUACCCAGACCCACAAGGCUCCUCAAAGCCUCCUCACCAAGGGCUGACUCUUUUGCCUUGUUCUUUCUUUUUCUUUCUGUUUAUUCUUUCAAAACAUGUACUCCUUUUAGGCAGUUGCGAGAACUUCUACAAUAAUCUGUGUUCUAAAUUUUAGGAGCCACAAUAAAAACCUCUCUUUUUU
Molecule: long non-coding RNA, 1067 nt
Filed under: Homo sapiens (human)
Lineage: Eukaryota; Metazoa; Chordata; Mammalia; Primates; Hominidae
Description: HSALNT0317168
Source: RNAcentral